AUGGCUUCCCAUUCCGGCUGGGCAUAAAGUGACAGGAACAGACAUUAAUUUUUUGAGGAAUCAUAAUUUUCGAAGGCAAGCACGUCGUCAGGCCACGCUUUCAGGUCGCCGUGCUGGAAACAAGGGCAGCGUGCUAGGCAACAUGCCAUGAUGUGGGGCGCUUCCAAGGCAGCAUGGCUUGUUUACUAGGCAACAUGCUGCAAGGUGUGGGGCGUCGAUCGAUUAACUAGCAAACAUCGUUGUCGUUUAUAGGCAUCGUGUGGGGCAUUUACAAGGCAUCGGGCUUGUUUUAUAGGCAAUGGGGCUUGGGGAGACAGACGCCUUGCUUGUAUAGGCUUUAAACCUCGCGUCUCGUAUGCUUCCAUCUGACCCUUGCUUGGGCACAGGGGUUGCUCAAGCCCCUGGUC
This 407-nucleotide long non-coding RNA is filed under the name Helianthus annuus (common sunflower). The record is from RNAcentral. Lineage: Eukaryota; Viridiplantae; Streptophyta; Magnoliopsida; Asterales; Asteraceae.